CCAGACAAAGCCGAAAUAACACAUUCACGGUAUCGCAGAGUUUGAAGAUGGAAUGCACACCAGGAAAGGAUGACAGCGAGUAGAUUGAAAACUUGGAGAAGAAGCAGUUGAAUGUGAAAGAGUUUUGAGACGGAGCCUCAUCAUGCAAUCCCGGUUGAUCCUGAACUAGACAAGAGGAUGGUGAGUUCAGGAUGUUUUCCCCGAGUGCUGGCAUCGUGGCUAUGCACUAGCUUAACAUUCUUCUGAGACCCUGAGUUGAUUCUCUAGAAAGCAAGUUAUCAUAAAUGAGCAAGCCUGUGCCUCCCCAGCCUCUGGCUUUCUGAUGUCCUCCUCAUAUACACUUCCCCCAUGAUGUUGUCUGCCCUGAUGUGAUGUAGCCAAAAGGACCCAUACAACAGCUGCCAUCAAUGCCUUUGAAUUUUCAGCCUCCAAAAAGGUGAGAUAAAUAGCUCUCUCCC
Molecule: long non-coding RNA, 458 nt
Organism: Peromyscus leucopus (white-footed mouse)
Lineage: Eukaryota; Metazoa; Chordata; Mammalia; Rodentia; Cricetidae
Exons: 3
Source: RefSeq, a predicted model, not a curated record